This 2762-nucleotide long non-coding RNA is filed under the name Sparus aurata (gilthead seabream). Its description in RNAcentral is "lncRNA (ENSSAUG00010003761.1)". The record is from RNAcentral. Lineage: Eukaryota; Metazoa; Chordata; Actinopteri; Spariformes; Sparidae.
UCCUCUCCCUCAGCAGAGUCAGAAGUGACGGAGAGGCCCACCAUCCCUGUGCUGGUGACCUUGCGGGCCAAGUGCAAUGCAGGAACCAUCACACCUGCAGUGAGGGAGCUGCAGGUUGGCUGCAUCCGCUCCUCACAGCCCAGUAAAAAGGGUGGUGAGUUUCUCUGGGAUAAUGUUGCGUCCCUGCAGCAGCAGGGCUUUAGUGUGGAGCCUGGCAAAGGCACUGUGGAGGCCGGCCACAAACGCACCAUCACUGUCAAAUGGACCCCCUAUAGCGGAUACAAGCCCUACGACGUGGUGCAGACAUGUGUGCCUGUUACCUUGAAAGGGGAUGAGACGAAUGUUUACAGAGUCACCCUGAUUGCUUUGGUCUCCACCACUGCUGACUGACCUCCGCUGUACCUGGACACCGGCCAGCUGGAAAUUUGCUCACACACACACACACACACGACAAUCACUGACAGAGUAAACAAAGACGUCACGUGUACUGUACAUGUACGUGGGCAACAUUAAAAAAAUGAAUGGACUAUUUAUUACUUGAAUUUAAUUAUUAAAGGUGGAAUUAAUUAAGUUUUGUACAAGGAUCUGAUUUGAUUCUGUGAGACAGUCAUUGUAUGGCCUACAGGUUAUGAUGGUCUAAUAUCACACAGCACCAAAGUCAUUUGAAAUACAUGAGGGUAAAUGGCUAGCAUUAUAAUAAAACUAUAGAGUAGUAAACACUUUUUUUCCUUUUUGGACUCCAACACAAAUUCAUGAGUUAUAGAUAUGUGGCAAAGUAACAAAGACCCCCAAAAAGCUAAACAGUUACUUGUGUUGCUUCUAAGGAGAGGAAGAGGAACGAUAAAGGUGCUCAUGAAGACAGUCUAAAGAUAACUUUAAAUGACCAUACAAGACUAACAAAACCCUUUAUUCUCGAUUAAAGCCAGGAGACAGAAUACCAUCCCUGUGCAGCACAUUCACUGAACGUCACCUGACUGUAGCACCUGCUUACACCACCAGGGGGUGUAUUUGAUACCGAGCAGGCAGCUGUGUUAUAUCAUGGUUAAGGGUGUGUCAGCUGAUGUAAGCCAGCAGAUGUAUACAGUACAUACUGUAGCACUGCUGGCACUGUAUCCACUGAGUGAAAGGAGUUCACACAGAGGCCAAACAAGAGGCAGUUCAUGAAAUGUGACACAGAAUGGAAAGAUCUCAAUACAGAUCAUUUAUACAAAACACUUGUGUGAAAUGAUAGCCUAUUGAUCCGGCACAGACUGACAAAUUGGUCUACUACAUCAAUAUUUAUAGUCGUGAUUGGAUAUGUGGCCUUAAGUGCUAUUACAGUAAUGAGGUGGUAUCAUAUAGCAACAAUGAUCUUAGUAAUGAGCGUAGGAUGAUUAGUACCAUUUUUGCAUUGCCUGUAUAUUAGCUAUUGGCGGCUUCAGCUUUGAGAAACUCAGAGGUGACUGGUCUAAUUGUGGCACUCUGGAUAUCCACCAAAGGGUACUUGCGUUGUGAAGCCAUGUUAAUUUUAGACAAAUGUCAAAUUUACACCUCACAUAUCUUUUAAGUGAGGCUUAAAUGGAUGUCAGAAUCGACAGAAUUGGAUCACAGAGUGUCAUUCCACUUCUCUUUAAGUUGCCUAUUUUUAUCUUUGCAAUACAGCACGUUAUGAAAGCAUUUUUAGAAAUCCUGAAUUGGAUGACGUAAUUCUCAAAUACCCCUGAAAAUGCCCCACAACUUUGCUCUCAUGUGGUGGUGGUUUUAAUGAGGAUCAACAUGAAUUUCACGUGAUUUUAAACAUUAUGGCGAUCACUCAGCCUGUCCUCAGGUUAUUAAUUCCAUCCACAAGGCCUGUGGACUGGGCCCGGUUCUGCACUAGACUGUUGCACUUACAAGCAGCUGCCACUAGGAGCCCUUAAUGUCCCCACUGGCCCUCAAGUGAUGGAAUCCUGAAUUUUUGUGGAUUUAAUGUGGUGUAGCGUGUUGUGGUGAAGGCGUCUUUCCAUCGUGAGUGAUGGAAUGAUGACUGGUUGAUGACGGUUACUAUAACGUGUUACCUCGGAACGUAUAAUGAAUGUGUCAUUCUAAUAGGACUGAAGAAGAACUUGUUUUCUAACUAGUUCGAUUAAUCUUGUUUCCAUCAGAGGCGCAUCCAUAUAAACCACUGCAGGCGCAACACAACAAUAAUCUGCAAAGAAGGUUAGAAAAUACCUGCUCUCCCGUUCCCAAUUCUUCACUUAUUCAGAAAGGACCUGACAUAAAGUCGACUCUUACAGUAAGUAAAAGGAUUGUUCCUAAUGGAUAAAAAGUGUUUACAAGAUCCAUUUUUUUAAUGACCACAAGCACAUAUCAUAUACAUUACAAAUAUCUUUCAAAAAUACUUCUCAGACUACAAUGUUUCUCAAAAAUAAGGGAUUGAACUCCACUUGUGAUUACAGAACAGCUCAAUAUUGUUUGCUCAUUUUAAAAAGAGAUUCUCCUCUCUCAAUACCAUCUGAGUAACACUUAUUCUCAAAAAACAGAAAUGAUGUGGACGUAAGUUAAAGGAGAUCAGUGUGAAAUAUCCAACACCCUGUACAUCAACUGAAAGGAGCUAGUUUAUCUUACAUAAAUUAGGUGUUCUUUAUGUUCUAUUCUCUUGUGUUUUUUUAAAUGUUAAAUUCAAGAUGUGUGAUCGCCAACUGUGUGCCCCUCCACUGUAUGUGGACUGUAAGUGUCAUCAACAUAAGAGGACAGUAGGAAAACGUAUCAGUCUUUAAAUAAUGUGAUAUUAAGAUUAGUCC